This is a non-coding RNA of Lactuca sativa (garden lettuce), 1704 nucleotides long. The record is from RefSeq and is a predicted model, not a curated record. Lineage: Eukaryota; Viridiplantae; Streptophyta; Magnoliopsida; Asterales; Asteraceae.
GUUGUCUCUACCUAGAUUUUUGGUCCAAUUGAAGUAGGUGGUUUCACUUUUUCUCCAAUUACUUACCGAUAUCUCUUUCACAAUGAGGUUUUCCAUGUUUUUUGAUUUCCUCAGUCUGCUUCUUCUUCUUCUUAUGUAAGUAGUGUACGUUUCAGUAAAAGCAAUCAGUUUUACGGUUUAUUUAGUUUGGAUUUAUUUUGUACAAAUUAGGCGUUGUAUGUUGAAUCUACUACCAUGUCUCUGAAAUUGUUGUUUGGUACUUUGAUUCUACAAAGACAGGUUUGAUUCAGCCGCCUAUUCUUUUAAAUUAUACUGCAUCAGCUGCUUUCCUUCUUUCAACCCACUGCCUCAAUUAUUUAUCUAAAGUUAUUGACUUAAGAUCUAUCCACAUGGGGAAAACUGGAAAGGUGAAUGUGGUGUGCAGGGUUCAAAGCAUGAGGAACGUCUCAGAUUUAAGAAAACCCAAAAUAAUGAUAUGAGUGUUUACACACAAAGAGUUGGUCUUGGAUUUUCAACUAGCUGAUGUUUUUUACCAUGGUGUUCUUAUGUAAGUUGAUUCUUGAAAACCCAAUAUUUUAAACCGAUUGAAGAGGUAAUUUCUUGAAUAAUAAAAUUUUGCAAGUGAAUUGCUAAACUUAGAAACUAAAUCUUUCAAUUAAAGCAUUGCAACUUAUCCAUCAUCAUUUCUUUUAUUUUAGCAAGACUUUGUUAUGGGUUCUACCACCUGUUCAAUGAAAUUCCUUAUAGAAGGUUAGGUCAUCAUGCUAUUAGGUUUUUCACUAUUGUUGAUCUUCUAGAGUUUUGUAAAGUGAGACCCAAGAAAAGGAAUCAAAUGUCUUUGACUAUAUACUUCAAGCCACUUUGAUUCAUACACAAGUACCCUAUGUUAAGAAGAUAUCAAAGCAAUUAUAGGAAACAUAUUGUCAAAUGUCUUUGACUACAUACCUAAAGCCACUUUGAUUCAUACACAAGUACCCUAUGUUGAGGAUGUAGACUCUACUGCUUUCGUCCUCAACAGUAGAAGUGUGUGCUGCUAAGCCGAUUGCUGAUCAACCAAAGCUUAACCAGUUAAACAAACUAAUUUUGAGGGUCUUUCCACAUUGAUAGAUGUUAUUGCUUGUGCAAAUGAUGAUUUUAUAUUGGCAAGCAAAGCUCUUAUUGAGAUUAUCAUUCACUCAUCUUUCUUUUCCUUCUUGUUCUUCUGGGAAGAUAAGUUUCUUUUUAACUGUCAUAGAUCUUCUUUAUAAAGAAAAGCAAAUACCAAAUAUUGCAAAAGGAGAAACAAUUUGAAAGCAACAAGUUGGUGGUCGAUUACGUUGGACGAGAGAAGUAAUCAAAUUUGAUCGAUAAAGGAAUCUAGAGAAAGAGAAUAUUUAGAAAAACGUGGAGGGAAUGAGAAAUGUCCGUCAGGUCACUAAGACUAUGCAAUUAUUACAUUGUAUUUCAAGAAAAUGGAAAGAUGAGAGCCAAAUGUGAGUGAAUGUGAGUACACCAACUCAUAUAAAUUACAAUUAUUAAUUUUUUGGGCUUUUGAUUUUUACCUCAACGGUCGUAGUUGGAUUAUAUGUUAGAAUACAAUUUGUUAGCAAAAAAAAUUUAUUUAUAUAUUAUACUAGAAAUUCUCCCUAGCUUUGCUUAUAUGGCAAGAAAUUCCAAAAUAGGGCAAAAAAAACUUAACACUUUGACAGCCAACAGUUGGUUGCA